CCUACGGGAGGCAGCAGUGAGGAAUAUUGGUCAAUGGACGAGAGCCUGAACCAGCCAAGUAGCGUGAAGGAUGACGGUCCUAUGGGUUGUAAACCUCUUUUAUAAAGGAAUAAAACGCGGCACGUGUGCCGUUUUGCAUGUACUUUACGAAAAAGGAUCGGCUAACUCCGUGCCAGCAGCCGCGGUAAUACGGAGGAUCCGAGCGUUAUCCGGAUUUAUUGGGUUUAAAGGGGGCGGAGGUGGGUAGUUAAGUCAGUUGUGAAAGUUUGGGGCUCAACCGUCAAAGUGCAAUUGAUACUGGCAGUCUUGAGUACAGUGGAGGUAGGCGGAAUUCGUGGUGUAGCGGUGAAAUGCUUAGAUAUCACGAAGAACCCCGAUUGCGAAGGCAGCUUACU
Molecule: ribosomal RNA, 395 nt
Filed under: uncultured bacterium
Lineage: Bacteria
Description: partial 16S ribosomal RNA
Rfam family: Bacterial small subunit ribosomal RNA
Source: RNAcentral